RNAcentral lists this ribosomal RNA (253 nucleotides) under uncultured bacterium. RNAcentral describes it as "partial 16S ribosomal RNA". It matches the Rfam family "Bacterial small subunit ribosomal RNA", at positions 524 to 776 of the family's 1533-position model. The record is from RNAcentral.
UACGGAGGGGGCUAGCGUUGUUCGGAAUUACUGGGCGUAAAGCGUACGUAGGCGGCUUUGUAAGUUAGAGGUGAAAGCCCAGAGCUCAACUCUGGAAUUGCCUUUAAGACUGCAUCGCUUGAAUCGUGGAGAGGUUAGUGGAAUUCCGAGUGUAGAGGUGAAAUUCGUAGAUAUUCGGAAGAACACCAGUGGCGAAGGCGGCUGACUGGACAUGUAUUGACGCUGAGGUGCGAAAGCGUGGGGAGCAAACAGG